GAUGAACGCUGGCGGCGUGCCUAAUACAUGCAAGUCGAGCGAACAGAUAAGGAGCUUGCUCCUUUGACGUUAGCGGCGGACGGGUGAGUAACACGUGGGUAACCUACCUAUAAGGCUGGAAUAACUCCGGGAAACCGGGGCUAAUGCCGGAUAACAUGUUGAACCGCAUGGUUCUACAGUGAAAGGCGGCUUUGCUGUCACUUAUAGAUGGACCCGCGCCGUAUUAGCUAGUUGGUGAGGUAACGGCUCACCAAGGCAACGAUACGUAGCCGACCUGAGAGGGUGAUCGGCCACACUGGAACUGAGACACGGUCCAGACUCCUACGGGAGGCAGCAGUAGGGAAUCUUCCGCAAUGGGCGAAAGCCUGACGGAGCUACGCCGCGUGAGUGAUGAAGGUCUUCGGAUCGUAAAACUCUGUUAUUAGGGAAGAACAAAUGCGUAAGUAACUGUGCGCGUCUUGACGGUACCUAAUCAGAAAGCCACGGCUAACUACGUG
This 497-nucleotide ribosomal RNA is filed under the name uncultured bacterium. RNAcentral's name for it is "partial 16S ribosomal RNA". It matches the Rfam family "Bacterial small subunit ribosomal RNA", at positions 28 to 507 of the family's 1533-position model. The record is from RNAcentral.